UUGUUUUUUAGUGCUUGUAGUCUGAAAAAACUCAUAUAUCUUCAGUGUUCUCAUCAGCUUCGUCUCAUCUUUAUAACCAUGAGGCUAGAGUUAAACAAGUACACUACAUUA
This is a small nucleolar RNA of Capsella rubella, 111 nucleotides long. It matches the Rfam family "Small nucleolar RNA snoR97". The record is from Rfam. Lineage: Eukaryota; Viridiplantae; Streptophyta; Magnoliopsida; Brassicales; Brassicaceae.